CCCUUGGGAGCUCUCAGCACCAGUGUUGAUGGUUCCAGCUCCACCCACUUCCCACCCUCAGCCUGCGUGAAUAAGGCAUGGCCCCUGGACUAAGUCACAUCAGCAAUAGAGACCACCUAUCUUCUUACAAGCAAAGGCUUCCCAGCAUGAACGUUUCUCUUGUUACCUUCUAACCCCACUAAGGUUAUGGCUGCAAUUGCUGCAUGUCUCCGGAAGUGGAAAGCCACCUGCUAAGUGUCCCACCCCAACUUUGUCUCCGACCAUUGGCAGAACCAUCGAGUGUGGUUUCCGUGAGUCUCUAAAUGUUUGUUCAUAAAGCAACUUCAGCUUUCUCUCGCCUUUCAUGCUCUCUCAUGUUUUAUUACCUCAUUUUUCUUGAAGCCACACAAAAGGCUGUAAUAAUAAGCUAGCUAAGAGACUGUAACUGAUUCAGUAUUGGGAAUUUAAUAAAAGUUGUAAUUAAGAUGCACUAAAUAUUUAAUUAACAUAAAUGACUAAGAUAAUGAAGAGUUACAGAUGAAAUGUUUGUCAAUUCAGUAAAAGGAUAGUGUAAUAGGAAAAAGGGAAGUUUUGAAUAAUCAAGUCUAAGGCCAUUUGAACCAGGUUUUAACAUAGCUGUGCUUAAAGGCAGUUGUUUAGACCGGCUUUGGGUUUUGUCUCUCUGUACAUGGAGAAGACUCUUAUAGGAGUAGCUGUUUGAAUGUGAGUUAUUAAUGAACUCUACCUCAAGACCAGGAGCCAGCAGGAAGGGUCUGACAGUCAUAGAGCGCCACGGGCCUGGGUGGGUUGCACAGCGGCUAAAUGUUCUGUAAGGUCUUUAGCGACACAGCUUUGAAGUUAUACCUGCUGAACACUGGUGUUCGAAAGCUCACAUAGCAGAAUAAUUCUAAAUUUAAAACUCUUGAUGAACCAUUUUGGACACCAAUAACACACUAGUAUUAUGAGAUUGUGUGUGUGUGUGUCUGUGACAGAAUCUUGUUACACUGCUCAGCCUAGUUUCAAACUUAAGAACUUCCUGCCCUAGCCUCCUGAUUUGUUGAUAUUAUGGUAUAUUCCAUUGUGCCUGGAUCCAUCAGAUGAAAUCACCAUCUCUUUCCUCUAUAAUUUCUUCUAUCUAUCUAUCUAUCUAUCUAUCUAUCUAUCUAUCUAUCUAUCUAUCUAUCCAUCUAUCUAUCUAUCUAUUUAUCUAUCUAUCAUCAAUUGGUUGAUUGGUUGUUUAAGGCUAUCAUAUAUGUAUACAAUGAAAUAAAAUCAACCCAUUUCCCUCCUCACACUCCCUACUGACCCCCAUUUAUAUCUCUCAACUUCAUCGGCUCUUCCUCCCCCUCCUCCCCUCCCCCUCCCCCUCCUCCAAACGUUGUAGUUCACGGUGUACUGGUCGCUCUUCUUUUGUGUGAGACAGGACACAACAGCAGAUGCCUGGGAGCACUGAAUACCGAGGACAGUCUGUCUCACAGGACCUCAAGCAGCAGGACAUUGGGGUCAAAUUCAGAACAACACAAUUUAUUAAUUUUGCCCUUGGAUAUUUAUAAAACACACAUACACACGAGAAA
Long non-coding RNA from Mus musculus (house mouse), 1553 nucleotides. RefSeq annotates it as predicted gene, 52390. NCBI's taxonomy places the organism in Eukaryota, Metazoa, Chordata, Mammalia, Rodentia, Muridae. The record is from RefSeq and is a predicted model, not a curated record. The transcript is spliced from 3 exons.